UACGGAGGGGGCUAGCGUUGUUCGGAAUUAUUGGGCGUAAAGCGCACGUAGGCGGUUCGUUAAGUCGGAUGUGAAAGCCCUCGGCUCAACUGAGGAAGUGCACCCGAAACUGGCGAGCUUGAGUACGAAAGAGGAUCGCGGAAUUCCCGGUGUAGAGGUGAAAUUCGCAGAUAUCAGGAGGAACACCGGUGGCGAAGGCGGGUCUCUGGGCAGUAACUGACGCUGAGGAGCGAAAGCGUGGGGAGCGAACAGG
This 253-nucleotide ribosomal RNA is filed under the name uncultured bacterium. RNAcentral describes it as "partial 16S ribosomal RNA". It matches the Rfam family "Bacterial small subunit ribosomal RNA", at positions 524 to 776 of the family's 1533-position model. The record is from RNAcentral.